UGGUGGAGUGAUUUGUCUGGUUAAUUCCGUUAACGAACGAGACCUCGACCUGCUAAAUAGUUAGGCAUAUUCUCGGAUAUGUGAUUUUCUAACUUCUUAGAGGGACUAUUGGCGUGUAGCCAAUGGAAGUUCGAGGCAAUAACA
Molecule: ribosomal RNA, 144 nt
Filed under: uncultured eukaryote
Lineage: Eukaryota
Description: partial 18S ribosomal RNA
Rfam family: Eukaryotic small subunit ribosomal RNA
Source: RNAcentral